Ictidomys tridecemlineatus (thirteen-lined ground squirrel) is the source of this 1861-nucleotide long non-coding RNA. RefSeq lists it as uncharacterized. The record is from RefSeq and is a predicted model, not a curated record. NCBI's taxonomy places the organism in Eukaryota, Metazoa, Chordata, Mammalia, Rodentia, Sciuridae.
AAGAAAGAGAGAGAGAGAGAGAGAGAGAGAGAGAGAAAGGAAGGAAAGGAAAGGAAAAGAAAAGAAAAAGGCUGGGGAUGUGGCUCAGUGGUAAAGUGCCUCUGGAUUCAAUCCUAAACCCUCCAAACAAAAAAUUACCUCUGUGAUUUAAAACCAUUUUCCCCAAGGAGAGGUUUAACUUAAUAACAUUCACUGUACUUCAGAAUGUUUAGAAAUAAUGAGCAUUUUAGACAGGCAUAGCCUUUAUGAUGUAGAGGAUGUAGAGAACUGACUGACAAACAGGUGGUCCACCCAGACAAGCCAGUAGAUAAAAGAUAGAUGGACAUAUUUUGGAGAGCUAGAAAUAAAUUCCUACAAGUCUGAAGAUCUGCUGUUGCAAAACCCUAAGUAUUCCAUGCCCAGUGUUUUUGUUGAGAGAAUAUUCCAAGUGAUGUCAUCACAUUGGACUGACACCAGGAGUCUGUGUAAUGUGGACUUGAUAAGAGCAAGCUACAAGUCCAGGAGAAUUUCACAUCUGACUGUGUUCAGUUUUACCACUGCAAAAAAAGAAUGGUGUGCUCCAGGUUGCAGGUGGUUCACAGAGGUAUUACUGGAAAAGGAAGGCAGAAGAGUAAAACGUUACACAUCCAGGCAUCUGGCGCCCAGUGGUAGUCCCAGCUGCUUGGGAGACUGAGGACCAAUUAUCCUUCGUGAAGAGAAGCUCUGAAUAAUUACUUUUGGCUCAUGGGAUAAGGCAGACUUUUCAGUUUGAGCUGGGCCUGCUCAGACAAACCCAAGGAAAGACUUUUGAGAGAGAAACAGUUGAAUUAGGAAAAGAUCCAGUACUGGGUGCGUGUUGACUUGUCAAAGAAAAAUAAAGGGAUUCAUUUGACUUAAAAGUGUGAAAUUAUUUGCUGUGUGAUGUAGUGAUGCAAAAAACCCUAUAAAUCUCACUGAACAAAGGACCAGGACUCACUCCCUGGGACCGCUGCUUUGGAAACGGUUGUGAGUCCAGGCUGGAGCUUGCAAUAAGGACUCCUGCGUGAUUGCAUCGGAUUCUGCUCCUGGAGGUCUAUUGGGGUCCCACGAAUCUGGCAUUACACUGCCACCCGAUCUCUCAGUGACAUCAUUUACCCUGGGGUUAAAACAUCUGGUCUGGUGGCCCCACCCUGAUCUUUUUGCCUUUCCCCCCUUAUCUGGGGGGCUGACAGCCUGGCAGAGGCUUCACUCUGGGUUUGUCAGGGUGGGGAGAAGGGACUUGUUUGUGCCUGAGGAACAUUCUGGAAGUUUCCCUUAGGUGAGCCUGGUGAGACUGCAGGUUUCAAACUGGAGUUUUAAAAUGGAGUUGCUAGGCUCAGGCCCAAGGCUGUCCUCACAAUGCUUCAGUGGCUUCUGCUUUUGUAAAGUAAAAUCCUAUGAGAGCCUUGUUGCCCUGGCUCCUGAGGGCCCGCCCUGAGGGGAGCUGAUCUGUCCCCCCCUGCUGGUUCCCUGGGCUCUGUCAGUCACAGGGUUUCUUUGCUGACCUUGAAGGUCACCACACUCCUGCCCAAGGCCCUGUGCUCCUCCUCUCCACCUGGAACUUUCCCCUCCACACCUGCAUGUGGCUUGCUCCUUCACUUCAUUCAAGUCUGCCCAGGGGCUGCCUCUGGGGACAAGCUUCCUGAUGCCAUCGUGCUUGGCAGCCUGGUGUGUAAUUCGUCCUCUUUCUCCUUACCUUGGUUCUGAUUCCCAAUAUUUGCCACUAUCUGGCAUUACAUUUUGUGUCUGUUUAUUUAUUUAUUUCUUUGUCUCUUUCAUGAGAGCAGGAACUUCAGCCUAUUUCCUUAUCACUGUGUCUUAGGCUCAAAGUUAUCACUCAAUAAAUACUGGUUAAACAGGUGAA